This is a non-coding RNA of Maylandia zebra (zebra mbuna), 339 nucleotides long. The record is from RefSeq and is a predicted model, not a curated record. Lineage: Eukaryota; Metazoa; Chordata; Actinopteri; Cichliformes; Cichlidae.
CAUUUGAGUUGCGUUAGUUAUGCGUUUAUGUCACUGAGUUCUGCAAAAAUCUCUUUCCUCUUUAGCUUGAAAAUGAGCGAUUCAGAGGAUCCCGAGCUGGAGGAAGAGCUUCAGGCUGCUGACGAACUCCUUCAAGAUAUGCAGAAUGAUGCACAGAGUGAACCUCAGCCAAGACCAGUGCGCUGGAAAACACGUGACAGACAGACAGGGAGAUUUUAUUCCUCAAAGACCAUCAACCAGUCGAUGUACUAGUUGCAUGCCACGUGUGUCCAGAGAGCAGCAUCAAUGUCCACGUGAAGAACCUAGUUAUGUUGCCAGUGUCAACCCAACAAAAAGGUA